ACGGAAGGCAGCAGUGGGGGAUAUUGCACAAUGGGGGAAACCCUGAUGCAGCGACGCCGCGUGAGCGAAGAAGUAUUUCGGUAUGUAAAGCUCUAUCAGCAGGGAAGAAAAUGACGGUACCUGACUAAGAAGCCCCGGCUAACUACGUGCCAGCAGCCGCGGUAAUACGUAGGGGGCAAGCGUUAUCCGGAUUUACUGGGUGUAAAGGGAGCGUAGACGGCGAGGCAAGUCUGAUGUGAAAGCUCGGGGCUCAACCCCGGAACUGCAUUGGAAACUGUUUUGCUAGAGUGUCGGAGAGGUAAGCGGAAUUCCUAGUGUAGCGGUGAAAUGCGUAGAUAUUAGGAGGAACACCAGUGGCGAAGGCGGCUUACUGGACUGUAACUGACGUUGAGGCUCGAAGGCGUGGGGAGCAAACAGGAUUAGAUACCCUGGUA
This 434-nucleotide ribosomal RNA is filed under the name uncultured bacterium. RNAcentral's name for it is "partial 16S ribosomal RNA". It matches the Rfam family "Bacterial small subunit ribosomal RNA", at positions 341 to 792 of the family's 1533-position model. The record is from RNAcentral.